This 809-nucleotide unclassified non-coding RNA is filed under the name Hevea brasiliensis (rubber tree). Lineage: Eukaryota; Viridiplantae; Streptophyta; Magnoliopsida; Malpighiales; Euphorbiaceae. The record is from RNAcentral.
AUUAGGGAAUCCCAUUUGCGUAUAAUGUUCCAGAAGAUUGAGAAAUCUUUUAAAGAGAAUGUUCGAAGAAAUUUGCAAUCUGAAGACAUUAUAUGCCAAAAUGGAACCACUGCUGAAAAUGAAGCUGGUGAAGCAGAUUCUAGCCCUAAUUGCUCUGCUGGCAUCAGCAGUCCUAGCAGUAUGGUUUGUGGUUCAAACUUAGAUACCUUGGAUACAUUUUCUUUUUUCAGAAUUGAGCUUGGAAGAAAUGAAAUAGAAAAGAAAGGUGCCAUGAAAAGGUACCAAGAUUUUCAGAAGUGGAUGUGGAAGGAAUGCUUCAAUUCCUUGACUUUAUGUUCCAUGAAAUAUGGGAAGAAAAGGUGUUCACAGAUAUUGACAACUUGUGACUGGUGUUUUGAUUCUUUUCUCACUGAAGACACUCACUGUGAUUCUUGCCACCAGACAUUCAAUGCUGUUAAUAAGAGUUAUAAUUUUUCAGAACAUGGGGUUCAGUGUAAAGUUAAAAGGAAACUAAACCACAGGAUUUGUGAUGCUUCUCUACCUCUGGGCAUCAGAUUACUUAAAGCUUUGUUAGCUUUCAUUGAGGUAUCUGUUCCCCCAGAAGGUCUCGAGUCAUUUUGGAUGGAAAACCACAGAAAGACCUGGGCUACAAAGUUGAACGUGUCAUUGUCAACUGAAGAACUCUUGCAGAUAUUGACGGUGCUUGAGAGUGCCAUAAAACGAGACUGUUUAUCUGCUGAUUUUGAGACGACAAAAGAUUUAUUGAGUUCUUCCACUUCGGCACAGAGUGCAUUAUAUGGUUCUACUGA